RNAcentral lists this ribosomal RNA (427 nucleotides) under uncultured bacterium. RNAcentral describes it as "bacterial SSU rRNA". It matches the Rfam family "Bacterial small subunit ribosomal RNA", at positions 355 to 774 of the family's 1533-position model. The record is from RNAcentral.
UGGGGAAUUUUGGACAAUGGGGGCAACCCUGAUCCAGCCAUCCCGCGUGUGCGAUGAAGGCCUUCGGGUUGUAAAGCACUUUUGGCAGGGAAGAAACAGCCUGGGCUAAUAUCUCGGGCGACUGACGGUACCUGCAGAAUAAGCACCGGCUAACUACGUGCCAGCAGCCGCGGUAAUACGUAGGGUGCAAGCGUUAAUCGGAAUUACUGGGCGUAAAGCGUGCGCAGGCGGUUCGGAAAGAAAGGUGUGAAAUCCCAGGGCUUAACCUUGGAACUGCACUUUUAACUACCGGGCUAGAGUACGUCAGAGGGGGGUAGAAUUCCACGUGUAGCAGUGAAAUGCGUAGAGAUGUGGAGGAAUACCGAUGGCGAAGGCAGCCCCCUGGGAUGAUACUGACGCUCAUGCACGAAAGCGUGGGGAGCAAACA